GUCUGACUUGGGUAUAGGG
This 19-nucleotide small nuclear RNA is filed under the name Arabidopsis thaliana (thale cress). Its description in RNAcentral is "snRNA_11726". Lineage: Eukaryota; Viridiplantae; Streptophyta; Magnoliopsida; Brassicales; Brassicaceae. The record is from RNAcentral.